RNAcentral lists this ribosomal RNA (140 nucleotides) under uncultured bacterium. Its description in RNAcentral is "partial 16S ribosomal RNA". The record is from RNAcentral.
CACGUAGUUAGCCGGUGCUUCUUCUUCAGGUACCGUCACUUUCGCUUCGUCCCUGCUGAAAGAGGUUUACAAUCCGAAGACCUUCAUCCCUCACGCGGCGUCGCUGCGUCAGGCUUUCGCCCAUUGCGCAAUAUUCCCCA